This is a long non-coding RNA of Ooceraea biroi (clonal raider ant), 1160 nucleotides long. RefSeq lists it as uncharacterized. NCBI's taxonomy places the organism in Eukaryota, Metazoa, Arthropoda, Insecta, Hymenoptera, Formicidae. The record is from RefSeq and is a predicted model, not a curated record.
AGGCAUUACUACUGUUAUCAAUAAUUGAGUAUAUUUUCAUCGAGUGCGAGAUAUACGCUGAUAAAGCGCAACACGCACAUCACACUGCAGACACUUUCAACAGAAUCGUGACAGAUGCUGUAUCGUUGAGUGACAUACUAAUAGCACACAUGGUAAUGUUGUAAUUCUAUCUGCAAUGAAUCGACAUGCUUGAACGCUAUUUUUAGACGCUCAAACAAGAGAAUACUGCAAAAUACUUUAAAAUUUUUAUGAAGUUUAUCCAAAAUUUCUUUCAAUCAAGGAAUUAAUAAUAAAUGAUCUAGUGUCGUAAAUGUGCUAUUUUUAUCUGCUUGAGAUUUUACAAUGUGUGGAAACAUAAUAUACAAUCAGUCUAAGAAGAACGUGAUCGGAAAAAGUUUUGUCUAGAAAUUAUUAAACGGAAAAUUUAAAUUCGCGUCUGUAAACGCAAAAGUUGUAGAAGAUUUCUUUCGCUACGAUGCAUAAUAGACCUUUUAAAAUUACCUUAUAAAAUUUUUAUCAGAGUAAAACGUAUUUAAUAAUGAAUGCUGUAUACACAAAACGUGUUCGAAAAAUACUUAUGCACACCUGCGAAACCAAAAUUAUCACCAGAAAUGACUGCUAAAUAUGAAAAAGUCAGAGUCGUUGUAAGUGGAUAUACGUAUAUUUUAUCUCAUUUUAUUAUAACAAAUAUUUAUUAUAAAGUUUUGGCAUUAAACCGAUCACGUUCUUAUUAAAUAAAUUGUACAUAAAACUGUACUGCAAUAACAUAUAGUUAUUGCUUUUAUAAAAUCAAAUUAAAGUAUUUUAUUUUUUGUAUAUCAACAUAUAUUAUAUAUAUAUCACGGUAAUAUCUAAAUCAUAUGAUAGUUAUGUAUCGAUUCUUUUAUGAUGCAAAAAGGAAGUUUAAGUUAUAAGGAAGUUUCAUUCUAAAUGAUAUCAUCCGUAUUUCAAGUCACACGUGUAUUUGUGACAAAUUAUUAUAUAAUAUAAUGUAGAUACAUUAAUGAAUAUAUUCUUAUAAUGAGUCUCAUUAACGAUGCGACAAGUUGAUGAGUAAUUACACUAUCCAUUGCCAUUGUGACCCCCUAAUGUAUUUUACGUUUCUCAUCGAUAUCGAAAAUAUAUGAACUGAAUUAGAAAUAUAAAGUUACUAAAAAUUA